Molecule: ribosomal RNA, 898 nt
Filed under: Vibrio parahaemolyticus
Lineage: Bacteria; Pseudomonadati; Pseudomonadota; Gammaproteobacteria; Vibrionales; Vibrionaceae
Description: bacterial SSU rRNA
Rfam family: Bacterial small subunit ribosomal RNA
Source: RNAcentral
GGGGGGAGGGUCUAAAUGCAGUCGAGCGGAACGAGUUAUCUGAACCUUCGGGGAACGAUAACGGCGUCGAGCGGCGGACGGGUGAGUAAUGCCUAGGAAAUUGCCCUGAUGUGGGGGAUAACCAUUGGAAACGAUGGCUAAUACCGCAUGAUGCCUACGGGCCAAAGAGGGGGACCUUCGGGCCUCUCGCGUCAGGAUAUGCCUAGGUGGGAUUAGCUAGUUGGUGAGGUAAGGGCUCACCAAGGCGACGAUCCCUAGCUGGUCUGAGAGGAUGAUCAGCCACACUGGAACUGAGACACGGUCCAGACUCCUACGGGAGGCAGCAGUGGGGAAUAUUGCACAAUGGGCGCAAGCCUGAUGCAGCCAUGCCGCGUGUGUGAAGAAGGCCUUCGGGUUGUAAAGCACUUUCAGUCGUGAGGAAGGUAGUGUAGUUAAUAGCUGCAUUAUUUGACGUUAGCGACAGAAGAAGCACCGGCUAACUCCGUGCCAGCAGCCGCGGUAAUACGGAGGGUGCGAGCGUUAAUCGGAAUUACUGGGCGUAAAGCGCAUGCAGGUGGUUUGUUAAGUCAGAUGUGAAAGCCCGGGGCUCAACCUCGGAAUUGCAUUUGAAACUGGCAGACUAGAGUACUGUAGAGGGGGGUAGAAUUUCAGGUGUAGCGGUGAAAUGCGUAGAGAUCUGAAGGAAUACCGGUGGCGAAGGCGGCCCCCUGGACAGAUACUGACACUCAGAUGCGAAAGCGUGGGGAGCAAACAGGAUUAGAUACCCUGGUAGUCCACGCCGUAAACGAUGUCUACUUGGAGGUUGUGGCCUUGAGCCGUGGCUUUCGGAGCUAACGCGUUAAGUAGACCGCCUGGGGAGUACGGUCGCAAGAUUAAAACUCAAAUGAAUUGACGGGGG